CCUCGGGACGCUCCAGUGGGGAAUAUUGGACAAUGGAGGCAACUCUGAUCCAGCCAUGCCGCGUGAGUGAAGAAGGCCUUAGGGUUGUAAAGCUCUUUCAGAUGUGACGAUGAUGACGGUAACAUCAGAAGAAGCCCCGGCUAACUUCGUGCCAGCAGCCGCGGUAAUACGAAGGGGGCUAGCGUUGUUCGGAAUUACUGGGCGUAAAGCGCGCGUAGGCGGCUUGAUCAGUCAGUGGUGAAAUCCCAGGGCUCAACCCUGGAACUGCCUUUGAUACUGUCAAGCUAGAGCUCGGAAGAGGGUGGCGGAAUAUCCAGUGUAGAGGUGAAAUUCGUAGAUAUUGGAUAGAACACCAGUGGCGAAGGCGGCCACCUGGUCCGUAGCUGACGCUGAGGUGCGAAAGCGUGGGGAGCAAACAGGAUUAGAUACCCCGGUAGUC
RNAcentral lists this ribosomal RNA (439 nucleotides) under uncultured bacterium. Its description in RNAcentral is "partial 16S ribosomal RNA". It matches the Rfam family "Bacterial small subunit ribosomal RNA", at positions 339 to 795 of the family's 1533-position model. The record is from RNAcentral.